AAGUUGUUGCGGUUAAAAAGCUCGUAGUUGGAUCUGUGUGACACGCUGUCGGUUCACCGUUUUGAUGGUGUUUAACUGACAUGUCGUGGCACGUCCUGACGGUUGGCAGUGUUCUCUCUCGGGAGUAAUGCUUGCCAGUUCCAAUCCUGUCGCGGUGCUCUUCACCGAGUGCUGAGGCGGGCCGUCACGUUUACCUUGAACAAAUUUGAGUGCUUAAAGCAGGCUUAUAUUGCCGGAAAACUGUGUGCAUGGAAUAAUAUAAUAGGACUUCGGUUCUAUUUUGUUGGUUUUCAGAAUCCGAGGUAAUGAUUAAAAGGGCCUGGCGGGGGCAUUAGUAUUGCGACGUGAGAGGUGAAAUUCUUGGACCGUCGCAAGACUAACUGGAGCGAAAGCGUUUGCCAAGAAUGCUUCCAUUAAUCAAGAACGAAAGUUAGAGGUUCGAAGGCGAUCAGAUACCGCCCUAGUUCUAACCAUAAAUGAUGCCAGCCAGCGAUCCGUCGUUGCUCUUUUAUGACGCGACGGGCAGCUUCAGGGAAACUAAAGCUUUUGGGUUCCGGGGGAAGUAUGGUUGCAAAGCUGAAACUUAAAGGAAUUGACGGAAAGGCACCACCAGGAGUGGAGCCUGCGGCUUAAUUUGACUCAACACGGGAAAUCUCACCAGGCCAGAACACCAGGUGGAUUGACAGAUUGAGAGCUCUUUCUUGAUUUGGUGGG
This 714-nucleotide ribosomal RNA is filed under the name Trichadenotecnum yamatomajus. RNAcentral's name for it is "SSU rRNA". It matches the Rfam family "Eukaryotic small subunit ribosomal RNA", at positions 607 to 1274 of the family's 1831-position model. The record is from RNAcentral. Lineage: Eukaryota; Metazoa; Arthropoda; Insecta; Psocodea; Psocidae.